This 253-nucleotide ribosomal RNA is filed under the name uncultured bacterium. Its description in RNAcentral is "partial 16S ribosomal RNA". It matches the Rfam family "Bacterial small subunit ribosomal RNA", at positions 524 to 776 of the family's 1533-position model. The record is from RNAcentral.
UACGGAGGAUCCGAGCGUUAUCCGGAUUUAUUGGGUUUAAAGGGUGCGUAGGCAGCCUUGUAAGUCAGGGGUGAAAGACGGUAGCUUAACUAUCGCAGUGCCUUUGAUACUGCAGGGCUUGAAUGUACUUGAGGUAGGCGGAAUGUGACAAGUAGCGGUGAAAUGCAUAGAUAUGUCACAGAACACCAAUUGCGAAGGCAGCUUACUAAAGUAUGAUUGACGCUGAGGCACGAAAGCGUGGGGAUCAAACAGG